Molecule: ribosomal RNA, 450 nt
Filed under: uncultured bacterium
Lineage: Bacteria
Description: partial 16S ribosomal RNA
Rfam family: Bacterial small subunit ribosomal RNA
Source: RNAcentral
GUGGGGAAUAUUCCGCAAUGGACGAAAGUCUGACGGAGCAACGCCGCGUGAGUGAAGAAGGUUUUCGGAUCGUAAAGCUCUUUCGUCAGGGACGAACGUAUUUCUUGUAAAUAAUGAGAGAUAGUGACGGUACCUGAAUAAGAAGCCACGGCUAACUACGUGCCAGCAGCCGCGGUAAUACGUAGGUGGCAAGCGUUGUCCGGAAUUAUUGGGCGUAAAGCGCGCGCAGGCGGGAUAUCAAGUCUGUCUUAAAAGUGCGAGGCUCAACCUCGUGAGGGGACAGAAACUGGUAUUCUUGAGUGUCGGAGAGGAAAGUGAAAUUCCAAGUGUAGCGGUGAAAUGCGUAGAGAUUUGGAAGAACACCAGUGGCGAAGGCGACUUUCUGGACGAUGUCUGACGCUGAGGCGCGAAAGCUAGGGGAGCGAACGGGAUUAGAUACCCGAGUAGUCC